Molecule: small nuclear RNA, 190 nt
Organism: Grammomys surdaster
Lineage: Eukaryota; Metazoa; Chordata; Mammalia; Rodentia; Muridae
Product: U2 spliceosomal RNA
Exons: 1
Source: RefSeq, a predicted model, not a curated record
AUCACUUUCCUGCCUUGUGGCUAAGGUCGAGUGUAGUGUCUGCUCUUACCAGGUUAAUGUCUGAUAUGUCCUCUAUCUGAGGACAAUAUAGUAAAUGGAUUUUUGGAGCUGGGUGAUGGAACAGCAGCUUGCUGUGUCCGGGACAUUCAUUGACCUGGUGUUGCAGCAGCCCAGGAAUGGUGCCCCCACG